UGAGCAUCUGGCCCCGACCUGGUAAAGGGUCGGUUUCGCCCAGCAGUAAGCCCUACAUGUGGACAGAGGACGAACACCGGACGAAGUGGUGACCCCGACGUGAUCUGUCUGCUGAGGGUGGCUGCCCGGCGUGCCCGUGACGCGGAGAAGAGCCUGUGAGGUGGCGGCAGGUCGCGCACGGAAGACGUAUUGCGGUUAAGAGCCUGCGAGGUGGCGGCAGGUCGCAUACGUAACAAUGGACCAAGUCAUUAAGAAAUUCUUCGUUGGCAGACCGAAGCCAACUCCAGAACAACUGAGGGACAGACGAUGGGAUCAAGAACCACUCGUCAAGAGGAGCACUACACCUGCAACGCUGACACUUCCGAUGUUGCUGAUAUUUAUGGUGUCCAUGGCAAUUACAGAGUGUCACAAACAACUACAAUGGACACAAGAACAUAUGCAGAAAAUUAAAGAAGAGCGUGAUCCCUUUGGAAGCUGGCUGGACGGACUGUUUGGGGGAACGGGUUCAUGGUUAAAGCAAUUGCUUAAAGCUCUCGCAGUAGGAUUUGCAAUCUUUGUGUGUAUUCUAAUCUGUCUUCCAUGCUUUGUAGGAUGCUUGCAGAACUGCCUUCAACGAAUGAUGGACAAGACUUUUGACUAUCACAUUGAGUAUCAUAGAUUGCGUGAAAAAUUAUAGAGGGGUUUAGGUUGUUGCGUUCGUGCUGUAACGGGGCAAGGCUUGGCCGAGCACGGAAAAGAAUUCCCUGUUGCUCUGAUGAUUGCUUAAGAACUGUAGUAGAAAAUAGUAGGAAUAGUGUGCUGAAAUAUAUUUAGGAUUAGGCGUUUUGCGCUGCUUCGCGAUGUACGGGUUAGGUGUGUGUGUAAGUAGUAUUUAGCUUAGGGAGGGGGAGAUGUUGUAGUAGGCGUCUUGCGGGGGCACGGGAUGUACGGGACAGGCCUCUCCCUAAACAUAGAGAGAUAGUGCUAUCGUGCUGACCUUGUUGCAGAGAAAACAGGAGAAGAAGAAGGAUGAUAAAAGAAUGCGGAAACGGCCAAAUAAGGCAC
This 1044-nucleotide long non-coding RNA is filed under the name Gallus gallus (chicken). Its description in RNAcentral is "lncRNA (ENSGALG00010006018.1)". The record is from RNAcentral. Lineage: Eukaryota; Metazoa; Chordata; Aves; Galliformes; Phasianidae.